This is a small nucleolar RNA of Suncus etruscus (white-toothed pygmy shrew), 127 nucleotides long. RefSeq annotates it as small nucleolar RNA SNORA51. The transcript has a single exon. The record is from RefSeq and is a predicted model, not a curated record. Lineage: Eukaryota; Metazoa; Chordata; Mammalia; Eulipotyphla; Soricidae.
GGCCUCCCAAUUCUUACCACAGGCUAUGUUUAUUACACUGACUGUAUAGAAAGAAGAGGUACAGUAGAUGCACCCCUUAUACACGUCAACACAGGUCCUUUGCCUGCUGCUGAUUUGGUACACCAAA